CACCGCCAGUAGCACGCCCGCAGUCCUCCGGUGCGAGGGCUUGCAGUCCGGCGGCCCACCGGCCAUGGACUCCGGCGGGGGUGGUGAGGACAUGGCCAUCCCAAGGAGGCAGCGGUGACGCCUUACAGCCCAAGGAAGGGCAGGACAGCAGUCCGGCCGCCCACCCCCAGCCCCCGUGCAGUUGGCGUGGUGCGUCCGGUGCAGUGCGGAACGCGUGUGCGUGGGUGCGCAGUUCUGGCGAGGUCAAAGAACUCCCUCUUCCUCGUCCCAUGGCCGAUCCAAGGUGCUCCACGUCGACGUACAGGAAAACAAUGGGAGCGACGGCGAGGAUGGUCUUUUGGUUCACUGAUUUUGUUUUUUGCGGUUGAAAAUCGUCAGGGCCUUAUCAUACUGUAGUUUACUUUUCCUCAAGGUGCUCGCCGCCGACGUACUGCGGUUUGCUAUGAGUUGUUCUUCCGGUUGAAUUUGCAGGGUUUUUCCAGUGAAUUUUUAAAAGGAAAUCAGUUCCUUUUCCUGAGGUGUGAAGUUUACUUGUGCAUAUUUCCAUGUAAUUUUGCACUUAGUCCUGCAGUGCACUCGAUGCGGUAAGCUCUGACCGUGCCCGCAGUUUAGAUGGGAGCUUAAUGAGGUUCACAUUCAAAUGUACUGCUCAACAGUGGUUCAGCAACUCAUCCCGUGCAGCUCGGUUUGCACAGGCAUGCGGUUUGGUGUAUCGCCGCGUGCAGCUCGGGGGUGUGCAGGCGUACAGUUUGUGCAUGGGUGUUUUUUUAAGUUAAAUGAAACUGCAAGUUGUGCAUCCUGGGGGUUUGAUGUGUGUGCGGCAUUGACCAUGCAGUACUCGGAUGAACACAUGUCUCUUGCAGUUAGGCAAACGUGUGAGUGCAGUAUGACAUGUAAUUUCUGGGGGGGUUGCAUUUUUCUUCUGAUUUUGUUGUGCCAUGCGAUGUGUGGUUGCUGGACGUGCUUAUUUUCUAGGUACUAUUGUUUGUGUCUAGAGGUUCGUUUCAUCAUUCUCAAGCGGUUCAUUUUGAAGAAAGAAAAGGAUAGUUAGAAAAAGAAACUAAUGCAGUACACUGGCCUUUACUCCGGAGUUCGGACGCGUUAACACAAAAAAGAAAAAAAUGACAAAAAUAGAAGAAUGCAGUGCACUAGCCUCUACUCUGGAGUUCGGACUUGUUUCAUCAUUCUCAAGUGGUUCAUUUUGAAGAAAGAAAAGGAUAGUUAGAAAAAGAAACUAAUGCAGUACACUAGCCUCUACUCUGGAGUUCGGACGCGUUAACACAAAAAAGAAAAAAAAAUGACAAAAAUAGAAGAAUGCAGUGCACUUGGCUCGCCACUACAGUCCCUUAAGUGCGGUUUUCAUUAUGUAAAAAAAAAACAACAACUCGUAUGAGAAAAAUAACGUCCGACAAAAGAAAUUAUGCAGCUCGCUUGCUCAUCCGAUGCAGUGCGGUUUUCAUUCUGAGGCAGUGCGGUUGGUUGUAUGAUGUUGUUCAUCCCGUAAGUGCAAAAAAAUUGUUACGAAAGCGAAAAAAAGUAAUGCGGUUCACUUCUUGAUAGUGUUGUGGUUUAUUUACACCCGAUGUGAAGUGCACUCUACUUCCUCGUCCUUAAAAAAAUACGUUUGGAUAAAAUAAACCAUGCAGUUCUCUAACACGUCUGCUGCAGUGCGGUUUUUCGUCCGAUGCAGCAGCAACAUCUAUUCCACGCCCCUACUUCAACCAGCUGGACGAGGCUCCAUGGCCUUCGUGUCCUAGCUUCUACUCUCUGGACAGGUUUAUCUCUUUUCCUCUUUCCUUCUCUCCCUCUGUUGUAUGUGUGUGCAUGCGUGUGUUCUUCUUGUUAAUCAUUACUGGUGUUCAGAUUAAUUGGCAUGUCAUGCAGGACGAGUAUUGUGCAAGAAGCCCCAUUAGUAAAGUAUAAAGACCAGGAGUCAAUUUACAUCUUAUUAUCUGACCAUCUUAGAUAUUUCCUUUGUCCUUUGUAUAAGUUUAUUCCCAAUUAGGAAUCAGCUACUAUACCACAGUAGCAUUUAUCUCAUUCUGAAUCUGGAACGUAUUUUAGAAAUCCCCCAUUAGUAAUGUAUAAAGACCAGAGGUCAAUUUACAUGUUAU
Molecule: long non-coding RNA, 2114 nt
Filed under: Triticum aestivum (bread wheat)
Lineage: Eukaryota; Viridiplantae; Streptophyta; Magnoliopsida; Poales; Poaceae
Description: long non-coding RNA (TAES_LNC000333)
Source: RNAcentral